Small nuclear RNA from Lynx canadensis (Canada lynx), 101 nucleotides. Lineage: Eukaryota; Metazoa; Chordata; Mammalia; Carnivora; Felidae. The record is from Ensembl.
GUGCUUGCUUCAGCAGCACAUAUACUGAAAUGAUACAGAGAAAAUUAGCAUGUUAUCUGUGCAAGGAUGACACAAAAAUAACUUAUUGGACAUCUUCUCAU